This 1087-nucleotide ribosomal RNA is filed under the name Escherichia coli. Its description in RNAcentral is "partial 23S ribosomal RNA". It matches the Rfam family "Bacterial large subunit ribosomal RNA", at positions 419 to 1512 of the family's 2925-position model. The record is from RNAcentral. Lineage: Bacteria; Pseudomonadati; Pseudomonadota; Gammaproteobacteria; Enterobacterales; Enterobacteriaceae.
GGGACACGUGGUAUCCUGUCUGAAUAUGGGGGGACCAUCCUCCAAGGCUAAAUACUCCUGACUGACCGAUAGUGAACCAGUACCGUGAGGGAAAGGCGAAAAGAACCCCGGCGAGGGGAGUGAAAAAGAACCUGAAACCGUGUACGUACAAGCAGUGGGAGCCUCUUAAUGGGGUGACUGCGUACCUUUUGUAUAAUGGGUCAGCGACUUAUAUUCUGUAGCAAGGUUAACCGAAUAGGGGAGCCGAAGGGAAACCGAGUCUUAACUGGGCGUUAAGUUGCAGGGUAUAGACCCGAAACCCGGUGAUCUAGCCAUGGGCAGGUUGAAGGUUGGGUAACACUAACUGGAGGACCGAACCGACUAAUGUUGAAAAAUUAGCGGAUGACUUGUGGCUGGGGGUGAAAGGCCAAUCAAACCGGGAGAUAGCUGGUUCUCCCCGAAAGCUAUUUAGGUAGCGCCUCGUGAAUUCAUCUCCGGGGGUAGAGCACUGUUUCGGCAAGGGGGUCAUCCCGACUUACCAACCCGAUGCAAACUGCGAAUACCGGAGAAUGUUAUCACGGGAGACACACGGCGGGUGCUAACGUCCGUCGUGAAGAGGGAAACAACCCAGACCGCCAGCUAAGGUCCCAAAGUCAUGGUUAAGUGGGAAACGAUGUGGGAAGGCCCAGACAGCCAGGAUGUUGGCUUAGAAGCAGCCAUCAUUUAAAGAAAGCGUAAUAGCUCACUGGUCGAGUCGGCCUGCGCGGAAGAUGUAACGGGGCUAAACCAUGCACCGAAGCUGCGGCAGCGACACUAUGUGUUGUUGGGUAGGGGAGCGUUCUGUAAGCCUGUGAAGGUGGCCUGUGAGGGUUGCUGGAGGUAUCAGAAGUGCGAAUGCUGACAUAAGUAACGAUAAAGCGGGUGAAAAGCCCGCUCGCCGGAAGACCAAGGGUUCCUGUCCAACGUUAAUCGGGGCAGGGUGAGUCGACCCCUAAGGCGAGGCCGAAAGGCGUAGUCGAUGGGAAACAGGUUAAUAUUCCUGUACUUGGUGUUACUGCGAAGGGGGGACGGAGAAGGCUAUGUUGGCCGGGCGACGGUUGUCCCGGUU